GGUCAACUCUGCUAUCCUUUUCUUUUUACACGUUAUCUACUUUUUGGGUGCAAAUAUUUUGUUCAGCCAUGCAUAAACCUACAUUAUCUUUGGCUGAUUACCAAAACUGGAAAGAUAGUCUCUGACCAUGAGAGCAAGAGAGCAGGCACCAGGGUGGCAAGAGAGCAGGCAACACGGUGGCAGGAUUGCAGAGAAAAAUCGUAGGACACUCUAGCUUUAGUCCGUGAAGGAAAAGAGAGACCGAGGGAACAAAAGAAAGAUUCAGCAAACAUCUCACGGUCUCGGAUACAAUGGGAAUACAAAGACACUAAGAGGGGGAUUCAAAAAGGAUUACAGGAUUCACUCUCGACACGACUCACUUGACAAAACAAAAAGACUCCCUUCUUGCUCUGCACUUUCUCGGCUCCACUCACUCCCAACACCUCACCAUCGUAGCUUAAGCAGUAGAAACACCUUACCCUCACAACAUUUUUCAUACACCAUUACGGCAAGAGCAGAUCAUCACCACCUAGGAAGAAGGGACCUCACGGCCAGAGGAGAGGUGAACCAUUUAUCUUCCCCAGUUGUUUUGAAGCGUCGGAGGUAAGUUGUCGUCCCUAAGUUCUUGGUCGUAUGGGAAUGCCUGUUGCUCUGUUACAUGUCUCUGUUGCUGGAAUUGAUUGAACUGUUACAUGUCUAUGUUCCUGGAAUUGAUAUGAAUGAAACAUGUCUAUGUUGUUAUGAAUGAAGUAUGCGUGGAUAUGGUUGUUAGUUUACUUUGUGAUAUCCUUUGUCAAUCAAAAACUGCACCCAGAAACUUGCAGUUUCAAUGCCUGCAAAAUCCAUCAUACAUAGGCAUGUAUCCCCAACAGCAAGACUCCAACACCCUCUUUACUUACACCCAGAAAAAUCGAAAGAAGGAAACAUAGACAAAAUCCUUUCAUAUCAGUUCUCAUAUGAAGCAAAGGAAAACAUAAAACAAAAGCAGUUGCUCCCUCUAACAAACCAUAGGUCUCCUUCAAUCUGGAUAACGCUGCAACUACCUUCAAUCUCAAAAUCCUCUUUCACCUAUAUCAAACAAACACGGAGACCAAAUCGGAAAUCCCCUGCCAUGUGAGACCGCUCCCCAGAACAACUUGCUUCCUCCAUCUUUGGUUUCGUUACCCAAAGCCAACACCAUCAAGAGAAACACGAACCCAAGCCACCAACAAAGGAGUCAACCCGAUGAUACCUCAACAUCACGACACCAUUGCCUUUUUCAAAUUGCACUCGGAAAGGAAACAAAAACUAAACAGAUCUCCUAAAUUUAUUCCCAAUCCUUUUCGCUGAAGCAAAAUUCCAGCAAGCCAUAGGCCAAGUUCUCACAAUCAUCAACCAGAAACACAACGAAAAAAGGAAGACACCUGAACCACCCCAUUAGAACCUCCACCCCAACUCACGCAUCACACCAUCAUCCUCAACCUGCACUGCACAAAGUCACAGAAACAAAAACAAUCACUAAGAACCAAGACUCAUUCUUUUGCCGUUUCAUACUCUCUGUCUAGUAAGAUGCCUACGCUCUUCAUCUGAAUCCAACAUCAUUUUUCACCUGCAACAAUCCAAAACAUAGAGAAAUCAACUCACAGAUCCCAUGCCAAUUUGUUUAAAGUUAAUCGCAGUGCAGCCACAACCACAGCCUUAGCAUAGCCAAACAACCCAAAAUCUCUGCAUCUGUUUUAACUGCUCUGGAAAUCGAAACCAUUUUCGGUCACCACGACGCCUCUGUUGCGCGCAUGAACGACAGCCGGUCUACCUGAGGCAACGGCGUUUUGUCUUGUUGGUGGCGGCGCUCUUGGACUUGAAGAAGAGGAAAGGGGUUUCCUUGCUCGCGAGCGAAGGAGAGAGGAAGAAGAGCUCACCAGCAGCGACAGAGCUCGUCGGCGUCGAAGAGAGAAGAGGGUGGCACGGUGGCUGGAUUCAAAGCAGUGGUGGCCGGCGGUGCAUUUGAGAAGGAACCCCCAACCCUAGGUUAACACGAGAAAAGAGAAGGAGAGGGGAAGGCUUGACGGCGGCAACCGGUGGGGAGCUGUGGUCGACGGUGGUCGCUAGCAACCCCUUUGGUGGCGUCGCGGUGGCCGUUCGGUGGAGGCAGCGACGAGUGCGUGAGUGGCGGGGUGAUUGCUGCUAGGUCUUCUGGUUCAGAUAAGAGGGUUGGGUGUCUGCGAUUUUGAGUGGAUGCAGAGUGAGGGGAAUGAAAUUCGACCCCUAAGCAAAAUCCUAGCCUGGGUCUUGGGCUGCUUCUUUUCGUUUUU
Molecule: long non-coding RNA, 2270 nt
Filed under: Vigna radiata
Lineage: Eukaryota; Viridiplantae; Streptophyta; Magnoliopsida; Fabales; Fabaceae
Description: long non-coding RNA (VRAD_LNC015490)
Source: RNAcentral